GUAAGCGCGCGUAGGCGGUUUUUUAAGUCUGAUGUGAAAGCCCACGGCUCAACCGUGGAGGGUCAUUGGAAACUGGAAAACUUGAGUGCAGAAGAGGAAAGUGGAAUUCCAUGUGUAGCGGUGAAAUGCGCAGAGAUAUGGAGGAACACCAGUGGCGAAGGCGACUUUCUGGUCUGUAACUGACGCUGAUGUGCGAAAGCGUGGGGAUCAAACAGGAUUAAAUACCCUGGUAGUCCACGCCGUAAACGAUGAGUGCUAAGUGUUAGGGGGUUUCCGCCCCUUAGUGCUGCAGCUAACGCAUUAAGCACUCCGCCUGGGGAGUACGACCGCAAGGUUGAAACUCAGAAGGAAUUGACGGGGACCCGCACAAGCGGUGGAGCAUGUGGUUUAAUUCGAAGCAACGCGAAGAACCUUACCAAAUCUUGACAUCCUCUGACCCCUCUAG
RNAcentral lists this ribosomal RNA (445 nucleotides) under Staphylococcus sp. Its description in RNAcentral is "bacterial SSU rRNA". It matches the Rfam family "Bacterial small subunit ribosomal RNA", at positions 561 to 1003 of the family's 1533-position model. Lineage: Bacteria; Bacillati; Bacillota; Bacilli; Caryophanales; Staphylococcaceae. The record is from RNAcentral.